UUCUUCAGCGUUCCUCUGUUCCGUGUUCUCUUCUCUGUUUUUAGAUGUCAAAAUUUUAGACAAACUUCUUUAUCAACAAUGGGUUCUUCAAUAAUACCUGUCACGGAUCUUAACACCAUUCUUACUACUACUACUCUAAUCAUUUAUAUGAAACUAUUAGAAGAAGAAUAUGGAACCCUUAUCUUGUGUUUGAUGAUCCACUCGCACAAUGAUUUUUCCUCUCAAAAUUUAAGUUUAAGAAGGUUUUCAGUAUCGUGUUUGUUGAAGAGUUAUGCUCCACCAUUUCUCUUACUCUUCUGCACUACAAAGAGUGAUUUACCUACUCGAGAGUCUGGAUUCUUUUCAUCAGUUUUAUCGAGAGAACACCAUCCUAAUGAAGCUGCUUGAAAAUUUCUGACUUAGUGAUUUCAAUUGAUCAAGAAGAUGAAACAUCCAAAUCGACUGAAAUUGACUAUGUUGUAAAGAGUGUUCCAAGGUUUCAUUUGUGUACCACACUGAGCGAGUUUACCUUGAAUAUAGAUCCUUAAGUCAUACUUUCGGACAUGAUAUAAUGUUAAGAAGGAACGUGAGGACAAUGAUAGAGAGCAUUUGGUGUAGAAGCCUGAGCAAUUUUUCAAACCUUUGCAGCAAUUUUUCAGUUCUCUGCGGGGUUAUGGAACCUUAAGACAAUUACUCAUAAAACCACCACUCAAGAGCUGGGAGAAGUCAAUUGAUAAUUGGAAUUCAAAGAUGUUGUCACAUGUGGGAUGGUUGGUUAAAUGGAACUGCAGUAGCCAAUCUCAUUAAUUAGUUUUCUCCGUGGCCACAAAUGUUUUCCGUUGAAGAGCUUUGUCAGGUCUGUUGGCUUCUUCUCAGUUGGCUACAUUACCCUGCAGUUGUACGAUUAGUCUUUUCUUGCCAAAACAAGUUUUAAGCGUUAUCAGGAAUCAUUUGAGUUGCGGAACCUUAAGUCACGCUGUUAUACUCUGGAAACUUUCGGACAGGACAUAGUACUAAAAAGGAGUGUGAGGACAUGAUAGAGAACAUUCUAACCUGAGCAGUGAGCAAUUUCUCAAACCUCUAAAGUCUAAAGCAAUUUUUUAGCUAUUUGCGGGGUUAUGAUACUGGCAUUGGCACAUUGCUAUUAACAACAAGUAUUGUACUUGGAGCUUGGAAGAAUAUGGUUGCAGCAAGGCUGCAUAAGGCGUAUGUAAUCCACUUGAAUUUUAUGCAACAAAGUUCACAAUUACAAGUUCACAAUUAUGCAACUGGGAGACAGAAUAAGAAAUCACACCAAAUACAGUUGUAGGAAUACUUAUGCAGAUGAUAUAGGAUCAAAAGCUCUUCGAAAGUCGAACAGAAUUUCCUGCUUCGUCUCUACUAAGAGGUUCAUAAUACCCAACGUGAUGGCCAUCCAAGUGAUCCGCAAGGCUAGACAUACCGAUGUGAUGGAAUCUGCAGACGAAGUAGAUGAUGGAUUGGAUUACUAGACCAAAAUGAAAGAAAAUUACCAGCAACACUAAGCAUAAGAUUCCCAAACUCACUCGACCAACCAUAGCCAAUGAUUCUCCAUUUACAACCAGCGAGCUAAAGGCGUACAAGUUGCCCCCGUGUUACAAAUUUGUACCGGUAUUGUGGUGAUGAAAGAAAUCCAAAUCUUAACCUUAAGCAAGUCCUUCCCCUUCUUCACAGCUUCAAUUCCUCUAAUGUCUUCCAAAAUCGAUAUUACGCUGGCUAAGUACCAAUGGAGGCUGAUGUAAAUGGAUCGGAUAGAGUAAGGAAUAAAUAAAAUUCCGGCUAUAGAAAGCAUGAGGAAUAAUGAU
Molecule: long non-coding RNA, 1802 nt
Organism: Papaver somniferum (opium poppy)
Lineage: Eukaryota; Viridiplantae; Streptophyta; Magnoliopsida; Ranunculales; Papaveraceae
Exons: 5
Source: RefSeq, a predicted model, not a curated record